GAUGAACGCUGGCGGCGUGCUUAACACAUGCAAGUCGAACGGGAUCCAUCGGGCUUUGCUUGGUGGUGAGGGUGGCGAACGGGUGAGUAAUGCGUGACCGACCUGCCCCAUACACCGGAAUAGCUCCUGGAAACGGGUGGUAAUGCCGGAUGUUCCAGUUGAUCGCAUGGUCUUCUGGGAAAGCUUUCGCGGUAUGGGAUGGGGUCGCGUCCUAUCAGCUUGACGGCGGGGUAACGGCCCACCGUGGCUUCGACGGGUAGCCGGCCUGAGAGGGCGACCGGCCACAUUGGGACUGAGAUACGGCCCAG
RNAcentral lists this ribosomal RNA (308 nucleotides) under uncultured bacterium. RNAcentral describes it as "bacterial SSU rRNA". It matches the Rfam family "Bacterial small subunit ribosomal RNA", at positions 28 to 334 of the family's 1533-position model. The record is from RNAcentral.